This 229-nucleotide unclassified non-coding RNA is filed under the name Hevea brasiliensis (rubber tree). The record is from RNAcentral. Lineage: Eukaryota; Viridiplantae; Streptophyta; Magnoliopsida; Malpighiales; Euphorbiaceae.
GGAAACCCCUCAUCUUCAUCGUAGGAGUUGUUCAGUCAAUGAUGUUUUUCUUGGUGGUUCAGAUGAUGGUGGUGGUGGGUUUGGUUGGAGGCCUUGCAUGUAUUUUGCUAGAGGGUUUUGCAAAAAUGGGAAUAGUUGCAAGUUUAUGCACAGUGGAUUUCCUGAUUCUUCUUCUUCACCAGAUGCUAUUGUUGGUUCUCCUAGUAAAGUUGACUCUGUUGAGGAUUUC